CCUACGGGUGGCAGCAGUGGGGAAUAUUGGGCAAUGGAGGAAACUCUGACCCAGCAAUGCCGCGUGAAUGAAGAAGGUCUUCGGAUUGUAAAGUUCUUUAGUCAGGGAAGAAUAAAAUGACGGUACCUGAAGAAUAAGCUCCGGGUAACUACGUGCAAGCAGCCGCGGUAAUACGUAGGGAGCAAGCGUUGAUCGGAAUGACUGGGCGUAAAGGGUGCGUAGGCGGUUAUACAAGUUAGAAGGGAAAUGCCCAGGGCUUAACCCGGGAGCUGCUUCUAAAACUGUAAGACUUGAGUGCAGUAGAGGUUAGUAGAAUUCCUAGUGUAGCGGUGAAAUGCGUAGAUAUUAGGAGGAACACCGGAGGCGAAGGCAGCUAACUGGACUGCAACUGACGCUGAGGCACGAAAGUGUGGGGAGCAAACAGGAUUAGAUACCCGGGUAGUC
RNAcentral lists this ribosomal RNA (444 nucleotides) under uncultured bacterium. RNAcentral's name for it is "partial 16S ribosomal RNA". It matches the Rfam family "Bacterial small subunit ribosomal RNA", at positions 338 to 795 of the family's 1533-position model. The record is from RNAcentral.